AUCCAUUGAAUAUCUUUCUCUCUUAUCCAUAAAGCUACUUCACGAACCAAAUCAUGCAUCUUCACGCAUUCUUCAUUAUUUUAGAUUGAUAAU
Long non-coding RNA from Neltuma alba, 93 nucleotides. RefSeq lists it as uncharacterized. The record is from RefSeq and is a predicted model, not a curated record. NCBI's taxonomy places the organism in Eukaryota, Viridiplantae, Streptophyta, Magnoliopsida, Fabales, Fabaceae. The transcript is spliced from 3 exons.